Molecule: ribosomal RNA, 301 nt
Filed under: uncultured bacterium
Lineage: Bacteria
Description: partial 16S ribosomal RNA
Rfam family: Bacterial small subunit ribosomal RNA
Source: RNAcentral
CAGCAGCCGCGGUAAUACGGAGGGUGCAAGCGUUAAUCGGAAUUACUGGGCGUAAAGCGCACGCAGGCGGUCUGACAAGUCAGAUGUGAAAUCCCCGGGCUUAACCUGGGAACUGCAUUUGAAACUGUCAGGCUGGAGUCUUGUAGAGGGGGGUGGAAUUCCAGGUGUAGCGGUGAAAUGCGUAGAGAUCUGGAGGAAUACCGGUGGCGAAGGCGGCCCCCUGGACAAAGACUGACGCUCAGGUGCGAAAGCGUGGGGAGCAAACAGGAUUAGAUACCCGAGUAGUCCCUGUCUCUUAUAA